This is a long non-coding RNA of Eupeodes corollae, 1923 nucleotides long. RefSeq lists it as uncharacterized. NCBI's taxonomy places the organism in Eukaryota, Metazoa, Arthropoda, Insecta, Diptera, Syrphidae. The transcript is spliced from 2 exons. The record is from RefSeq and is a predicted model, not a curated record.
UACAAUUCAAUAUAAAUGUAUGUGUUUAUGUACAGUAAUAUCUAUGAAUGUAUUGGGUAUAUUAAAUUUUCUAAUGAUUCAUGAAUGACUACUUCAUAAAUUUUAUAAUUGCAUUGAAUAUCAAAGUGUUUGCGAACCAAACCGUUUUUUCAGAUUCUAAUGUGAUUGAAAUAUUUAACUUUCGAAAAUAGUAGAACUAAUUUAAAAUUGUAAUAGAAAAAAAAUACAUAAAUUCCUUAAUUUGGACUCUGUUAAAAUGUGUUUUUAUUACUCUUUAAAACAAUACUGUACACAACACAUAGAUUAUUUAAAACGGCUUUUAAGACUUUUUAUAGUUUAUUUUUGGAAACACGAAUCAAAGCAAAAAACACAGUGUCAUUAAUAUUUAGGUUUCAAAAGUAUCUACAAACUUUUGAUGAAAAUUUGAUUCUCUGAUUUUCAGCAACACUUGCAGCAGAAAUAUUAUUGAUUGUGAUUCACGAUGAUGCACAUACUUUACGACACCAGUUACUCUAUCGCUCUCUUCAAUUUUGUUCACAAUUUUUAAGUCAUAAUAAAGACAGAAAAAGAAAAAAAAGGGAAUUUAUUAAGACACAAAAAGAAGAAAAAGUUCAAAGUAUUUAUUUUGAUCUCUUUUGAUUACCUAGUUGACAACAGAAGUGUUUGGUAAUUCAGAAUUAACAUCAAAUAAUAAUAAUUUCAGCUUUGUGAAAUCGGUAACGUCGGCAAUACUGCGCAGUAUUCUUCUAUUCACGUGAAAGCAUUCAUUCUGUACAAUUCAGAUACGCAUAUAAAAUGCAGCGGAUUUUUCAUUUGAUGUCUGGUUUGUUAAUUUUUGUAAGCAAAAUGUAAUUGAAAACUAAUGUAUUGCUUAAUUUAGAAUAUUUGCAUUUUUAAGGGAAGGAAGACACUUUUUAACAUUUCUCCGAAGCUCUCUGUUUGAGGAUUCUCUUAUUUUUCUUCUAACAAUUUGAAUAAAAAGUCAAAUACUGUCCAUUUCCAAAAAUUACACAAAUUAUUCUGUUUAGGUGGAUUGAUUAAACUUAAUAUUUGUAUGAAUCAAAACAAUUUAUCCGACAUUCCCAAAAUUUUUAUAUGAACAACUGUUUAUUUGAAUGUCAAACUGGUUUGGGAUAAUGUAGUUUACCCGUUGGAUAGCUGAAUGCAAAGGCAGUGUGAAAGGGAAUCGAAUGGGUAAAUGGAAUAUACGAUCCACGUGAAUAGCAGAUAAGGGCUGUUUAUCUUGGACUCCAAUGAAAUAUUUAGCUUUCUAGCCUUUUUAUAGGUUAUUAAAAUAUCAUAUUAUAUUUUCAUUAGGCAACAAAUUUAUGACUUAAACAAAAUUGUAAAAUACGAAAUAAAGGUAAACCGAAACGAUAAAUUGUAAAAAGUCAGUUUUUCAUUCCCUCAAACGUUUUUUGAAAUUAAAAAAACAACAAAACAAAAAGAGCAAAAAAGAAAUCAUCAGCGAUAUUUUUUUUAAUUAAAAUCGUUUUGAAAUCUGUGUUUUUGACAAGAAAAGUUUAGGAAAACAAUGGAAAAAUGCUCGUACAUGAAAAAAAAUCUCAGAUGGGCAGACUUUUACCUCAAGUAAAAAAGUAAUAACAAGAAAUUCCGGCACUAAAAAACAACAAGGUUCCGAAACUAUCUGAAAUGCAAUAGAAAAUGGGGUCGAUUGAAUGGCCCACUGCCAAGCCACCAAAGAGCUAAACAAAUAAUACAUAUUUGUUAUUAAUCGAAUUGGUUUAACUUUGUUUUAGAAGUUAACAAGAAGUGCGGUUUUAAAAAGAAUCCAAUUAAUGGGCUCACUCUUUAAAGAAACUUUAAGUAGGUAGAUACAAUGUGUUUCUUUUAAUAGACAAUUCCUAUACACAAAAAUUGGCUGCAAUUCAAUGAAAACAAUAAACCUUAAUUGAACAUCAA